This is a long non-coding RNA of Clupea harengus (Atlantic herring), 305 nucleotides long. The record is from Ensembl. NCBI's taxonomy places the organism in Eukaryota, Metazoa, Chordata, Actinopteri, Clupeiformes, Clupeidae.
GUGUGUGUGUGUCUGCGCUGAGGCUGUGUGUGUGUGUCUGCUCUGAGGAUGUGUGUCUGUGUUGAGGAUGUGUGUGUGUGUGUGUGAUGUGUGUGUGUGUCCUGUAAAACUUGUUCGGUCUUUUCUGCCUUCAUUGAAAUCGAUGUCACCUACCAUUUAAUGUCCUUGAUGUGGCAAGAGGGACAUCAGGAAGAUGCAGUGCAUGAUGGGACGGGAUGGGAUCUUAAGGCCAGCUGCAGUGCAUGAUGGGAUGGGAUCUUAAGGCCAGCUGCAGUGCAUGAUGGGACGGAUCUUAAGGCCAGCUG